RNAcentral lists this ribosomal RNA (460 nucleotides) under uncultured bacterium. RNAcentral's name for it is "partial 16S ribosomal RNA". It matches the Rfam family "Bacterial small subunit ribosomal RNA", at positions 338 to 795 of the family's 1533-position model. The record is from RNAcentral.
CCUACGGGUGGCAGCAGUGAGGAAUAGUGGACAAUGGGCGGAAGCCGGAACCAGCCAAGGAGAGGGAAGGAUGACGGCCCUACGGGUUGUAAACUGCUUUUAUACGGGAAUAACGCGCCUUACGUGUAGGGCUUUGCAUGUACCGUAUGAAUAAGGACCGGCUAACUCCGUGCCAGCCGCCGCGGUAAUACGGAAGGUCCGGGCGUUAUCCGGAUUUGUUGGGUUUAAACGGAGCGUAGGCCGGAUGUCAAGCGAGCUGUGAAAUGUCCGGGCUCAACCCGGGCCUUGCAGCGCGAACUGGCGUGCUUGAGUCCGCGAGAGGCAGGCGGAAUUCGUCGUGUAGCGGUGAAAUGCUUAGAUAUGACGAAGAACCCCGAUUGCGAAGGCAGCUUGCUGCAGCGGAACUGACGCUGAUGCUCGAAAGCGCGGGUAUCGAACAGGAUUAGAUACCCUGGUAGUC